UUCAGCGCCCCAGCAGCGCGGUCAGCUCUCGGCUGCUCCGGGACGGCGCGGCCCUGCUUCUGCUCAGCCAGAGCCGGCAGGCUCAGAGGCUGGCGGCUGGGCCCCGACUGCCGCGGGUCGGCGGCUCCGGCGUCGAGCGUGCCCCGGCAGGGCCUGCGCCUGAAGGGGGUGGUGCGUCGACAGCCCGGGCUGUUUGGCCGCAGUCUGUGAGUGGCCAGGCCCCGGCCGCCCUCUCAAGCUUGGUAACAGUUGCCGGGGGGUCGGUCGGGUUCCGGACACUGGCGUGCGUAGCAGCCAGGCCGACCGACUGGUGGGAGUCGCCCGCUGGCCCCUUCCCAACCACCACCGCCCGGCGCCCGAGCUUCGGGCUGCUCUGCUGUGAAGCGGGAUGGUUGUGCGGAUUCCAAGUGAGAGAAAGCAGGAUGAUUCAGCCAAUGAGAAUUUGAAUGCUGGUGGAAAACUGCAGAAAAUCCAGAAACCAACUGGAGAGAACUAAAAUAAAAAUGUAAACUGACUGGAAGGAUAUUUGGCUAUCUCAUGGAAUCCAAGAGAGAGUGUGGAAUGACCACACCUUCCUUAGGGAGAACUCAAGGCAGUUCCCAGGACCUGAGACUGAAAUCCACUAGUUCCUCCAAAGGACUACCAUUAAUGACUCAGCUACCAAUUCCCAACCACUGCCUCUGUGUCAAAUCCAAAAUUCCUGGGAGAGUCUGAUACACCACACACA
Molecule: long non-coding RNA, 727 nt
Organism: Manis pentadactyla (Chinese pangolin)
Lineage: Eukaryota; Metazoa; Chordata; Mammalia; Pholidota; Manidae
Exons: 3
Source: RefSeq, a predicted model, not a curated record